Molecule: ribosomal RNA, 825 nt
Filed under: uncultured marine microorganism
Description: bacterial SSU rRNA
Rfam family: Bacterial small subunit ribosomal RNA
Source: RNAcentral
AGAGUUUGAUCAUGGCUCAGGAUGAACGCUAGCGGCAUGCCUAACACAUGCAAGUCGUACGAAAUUAUUUUAGUGGCGGACGGGUGAGUAACGCGUGAGGAUCUACCUUUAGGAAAGGAAUACAAACAAUUAAAUCCUUAUAAGCUUUAUAGUGAAAAAAGAAAUUUGCCUAGAGAUGAACUCGCGUCUGAUUAGUUAGUUGGUUGGGUAAUGGCCUACCAAGACGAUGAUCAGUAGUUGGUUUGAGAGGAUGACCAGCCACAUUGGAACUGAGACACGGUCCAAACUCCUACGGGAGGCAGCAGUGGGGAAUUUUCUGCAAUGGGCGCAAGCCUGACAGAGCAAUGCCGCGUGAGGGAUGACGGCCUUUGGGUUGUAAACCUCUUUUUUCAAGGAGGAAGUUCUGACGUGUACUUGAAGAAUAAGCAUCGGCUAACUCCGUGCCAGCAGCCGCGGUAAUACGGGGGAUGCAAGUGUUAUCCGGAAUUAUUGGGCGUAAAGCGUCUGUAGGUGGUUUAAUAAGUCUAUUGUUAAAGCUUGAAACUUAACUUCAGAGAUGCAGUAGAAACUGUUAAACUAGAGUAUAAUUGAGGUAGAAGGAAUUUCCAGUGGAGUGGUGAAAUGCGUAGAUAUUGGAAAGAACACCAAUUGCGAAGGCAUUCUAUUAAAUUAUUCUGACACUCAGAGACGAAAGCUAGGGUAGCAAAUGGGAUUAGAUACCCCAGUAGUCCUAGCCGUAAACGAUGGAUACUAUAUAUUAGACGUAUCGACCCGUUUGGUAUUAAAGCUAACGCGUUAAGUAUCCCGCCUGGGGAGUAUGCUCGC